AACCAAUCAGAUCACUUCUUUCAUUUUUCAGAGGUCUUGUUAAGAAUUAAACAGGCAAUCUGGUUGCUAUGGGCAACUUGUCUCCCUUUCCUCUGCACAGGUUUUAAAAAUCUCCUCCUCACUAUGUACCAUAGACAAGGAGACGGAAUGCAGAUUCUCUCAUGCAGUGCCUGGUAGAGACAAAGGGAAUCACAAAGAUCUGCAAAUGGCAUUCAGAUCCAAAGAAAGAAACCAAAGAUCACACCUUCAAACUAACAGGAACCUUGUUGCUGAGGAGAGUUUAAAGGGAUAUUCCCAUUUGGACACAUAUGGCAUUUUUACUGGAUAUUACUGUUACUAAAGGUUGUUGAGAAGCUGAAAACAGCUUCCCUGGAAAGCUAACAUAACACUGUACUUGUAAUGUCCCUGUGAACAAUGAGAAAAAAACGAGAACACACUCAGAUUAGGGAAAGAAGGCUGAAACACAGAAACAAGCAAACUGAGUAAAAUGUUGGUAACUUUUAAAUACAUGAAAAUACAGAAACAAUUAGAAACGAGCAGCUCACAGUGUGCAAAACUGAAGUUGUCCUGUCCGUCUUCAGUUAAAUUUUAAAUACAAAUGUAGGAUAAUGCAAGAAGAACCAAGAACUAUCUGAGAUAGUUCUAAAAAACAUACAAGAAAUACUGGGUAAAACUCAAACUUUAUACUAUAAUCUGCUCGGAACUGCACAUUUCAGGAAUUUAUAAAGAGAAACUAUCCAGUUGGAGCCAAUUUAAAG
Long non-coding RNA from Hyla sarda, 758 nucleotides. RefSeq lists it as uncharacterized. The transcript has 4 exons. The record is from RefSeq and is a predicted model, not a curated record. NCBI's taxonomy places the organism in Eukaryota, Metazoa, Chordata, Amphibia, Anura, Hylidae.